This 798-nucleotide ribosomal RNA is filed under the name fungal sp. RNAcentral's name for it is "eukaryotic LSU rRNA". The stretch from base 488 to 798 matches the Rfam family "Eukaryotic large subunit ribosomal RNA", at positions 1 to 311 of the family's 3401-position model. Lineage: Eukaryota; Fungi. The record is from RNAcentral.
CUGCGGAGGGAUCAUUACAGAGUUCAUGCCCUCCGGGUAGAUCUCCCACCCACUGCUAUCACUACUCUCGUUGCUUUGGCGGGCCGCUGGGCCCUGCCCGGCCGCCGGCCCCGGCUGGCGCGUGCCCGCCAGAGACCUCACAGACUCUGAAUGUUAGUGUCGUCCGAGUAACUAUACAAUCGUUAAAACUUUCAACAACGGAUCUCUUGGUUCUGGCAUCGAUGAAGAACGCAGCGAAAUGCGAUAAGUAAUGCGAAUUGCAGAAUUCAGUGAGUCAUCGAAUCUUUGAACGCACAUUGCGCCCUGUGGUAUUCCGCAGGGCAUGCCUGUUCGAGCGUCAUUUCAACCCUCAAGCCUCGCUUGGUGUUGGGCCCUGCCCGCCGCGGCCGGCCCUAAAGAUAGUGGCGGCGCCGCCUGGCCCUCAGCGUAGUACAGCUCUCGCUCCAGGGUCCGGCGGCAGCCUGCCAGAACCCCCCAACUCUGUGGUUGACCUCGGAUCAGGUAGGGAUACCCGCUGAACUUAAGCAUAUCAAUAAGCGGAGGAAAAGAAACCAACAGGGAUUGCCUCAGUAACGGCGAGUGAAGCGGCAACAGCUCAAAUUUGAAAUCUGGCCCCUUCGGGGUCCGAGUUGUAAUUUGGAGAGGAUGCUUCGGGUGUGGCCCCGGUCUAAGUUCCUUGGAACAGGACGUCACAGAGGGGUGAGAAUCCCGUACGUGCCCGGUGGCCGCCCCCGUGUGAAGCUCCUUCGACGAGUCGAGUUGUUUGGGAUGCAGCUCAAAUGGGUGGUAAUUUCAUCU